RNAcentral lists this long non-coding RNA (552 nucleotides) under Nicotiana benthamiana. Its description in RNAcentral is "long non-coding RNA (NBEN_LNC031237)". Lineage: Eukaryota; Viridiplantae; Streptophyta; Magnoliopsida; Solanales; Solanaceae. The record is from RNAcentral.
ACCGAUAACUAAAGGGUUUGGCUUGAAGAAAUGGAGAAGGAUCAGGAGGGAAUCGCAUAAGGAUGGGGAUAGUAACACAGACAGUGGUAAGUUGUUGAAGCGUGGUUUGUCGAACGCCGCUGCAAAUUCUGCAAAACCUGUGCAUUUGACUGCUGGAGCAAUCCAAAAUAGUGAUGGAUCCGUUUCUUCAACGAAUGCACUAUUGAGGAGCCCUGGUGUUCUAGUUGAUGCCUUUGGUGAUCCUGGGCUGGCUGAUUGGCCUCUAAUUUUUGGUGCCACGGGCUCAGAGAACAGUGAGGAUCAGAGUAGUAGGUCUUCGACUGCAGCCAGCGCUCAAGGAUGGGGAUAGUAAGACAGACAGUGGUAAGUUGUUGAAGCGUGGUUUGUCGAACGCCGCUGCAAAUUCUGCAAAACCUUUGCAUUUUUCUGCUGGAGCAAUCCAAAAUAGUGAUGGAUCCGUUUCUUCAACAAAUGCACUAUUGAGGAGCCCUGGUGUUCUAGUUGAUGCCUUUGGUGAUCCUGGGCUGGCUGAUCGGCCACUAAUAUUUGGUG